RNAcentral lists this ribosomal RNA (484 nucleotides) under uncultured bacterium. RNAcentral describes it as "partial 16S ribosomal RNA". It matches the Rfam family "Bacterial small subunit ribosomal RNA", at positions 28 to 507 of the family's 1533-position model. The record is from RNAcentral.
AUUGAACGCUGGCGGCAUGCUUUACACAUGCCAGUCGAACGGCAGCGCGGGCUUCGGCCUGGCGGCGAGUGGCGAACGGGUGAGUAAUGCAUCGGAACGUGCCCAGUAGUGGGGGAUAGCCCGGCGAAAGCCGGAUUAAUACCGCAUACGACCUGAGGGUGAAAGCGGGGGACCGAAAGGCCUCGCGCUAUUGGAGCGGCCGAUGGCGGAUUAGCUAGUUGGUGGGGUAAAGGCUUACCAAGGCGACGAUCCGUAGCUGGUCUGAGAGGACGACCAGCCACACUGGGACUGAGACACGGCCCAGACUCCUACGGGAGGCAGCAGUGGGGAAUUUUGGACAAUGGGGGCAACCCUGAUCCAGCCAUGCCGCGUGCGGGAAGAAGGCCUUCGGGUUGUAAACCGCUUUUGUUCGGGAAGAAAUCCUCUGGGCUAAUACCCCGGGGGGAUGACGGUACCGGAAGAAUAAGCACCGGCUAACUACGUG